Caenorhabditis elegans is the source of this 106-nucleotide non-coding RNA. The record is from Ensembl. NCBI's taxonomy places the organism in Eukaryota, Metazoa, Nematoda, Chromadorea, Rhabditida, Rhabditidae.
CCAAUACAAAUCAUCCAACUUUUCCUCUCUUCUCCGUUUCCUGUCCUUUCAUGGACUGCAAAGAAGAAGGAAUAGGCCAAGGUAAACAUUCAAUCUAAAAAGCAAG